Long non-coding RNA from Zea mays, 734 nucleotides. RefSeq lists it as uncharacterized. The record is from RefSeq and is a predicted model, not a curated record. The transcript is spliced from 2 exons. Lineage: Eukaryota; Viridiplantae; Streptophyta; Magnoliopsida; Poales; Poaceae.
UCAGUUCGAGAUUUACCGCACAAACAGGGAGCCGCUAGGACUCUACCACCGGUCAGCAUCUCCACCGCACAAACAGUGCGCGACCUAGGUAACCGCUUGGAGAGGCCUCAGUUGCUGCGAACCCUCUCCCCGAUUUUCUCGCUGCUGACCCGGGACUAGCUCCGCUUCGUGCUCGGACGAACCGCCCCGCCAUUGUCGCGCGCGUGGAUCUCGCCGGGAUCCGGCACGUGGACUUCUUUUUCCCCCUCGCGCAUCUGGGUAUAAGACCAUUCCUUGCCCAUUCCUCUGACACCGCAAGCCCGUUAGCCGCACCUUGCACCGUGCCGAGACGCUGGAACCAGAGAAAGAGGGCCGAGGAAGUCGCUCCGCGCCGCCGUAGCCACUGCGCAUGCGCAUCUACGGUCAACCAGUGACAGUGGGAUCUGUGUGGAUUGCACGCGGGUGGGAAAUUGAGCUCGUGAGCCAUCGUCGUUCGGCGAAUUGCUCGCCAGAAUCUGUGGAUUGCCGCCAUCUGCCAUUGCUCGUGGCCAGCGUUCCUCACCGUGCUAAACUCGGAGAAGAACAGGUGGUUCAAGUGGAGCUGCAUAUCGAGGAGUUCGAUUCGAUCUAGGUGGUGUCUCCCAGUUCACUUUCUGGCGCCAAUGAUAGUUUUUAGAUCCUGCUAUAUUUAUCUUUUAUUUUGUAAGACUUCCGCUAUGUAAUAAGUACUCUGAUUAUUGUGACAUUUAUCUCUA